RNAcentral lists this ribosomal RNA (497 nucleotides) under uncultured bacterium. RNAcentral's name for it is "partial 16S ribosomal RNA". It matches the Rfam family "Bacterial small subunit ribosomal RNA", at positions 28 to 507 of the family's 1533-position model. The record is from RNAcentral.
GAUGAACGCUGGCGGCGUGCCUAAUACAUGCAAGUCGAGCGAACAGACGAGAAGCUUGCUCCUCUGAUGUUAGCGGCGGACGGGUGAGUAACACGUGGAUAACCUACCUAUAAGACUGGGAUAACUUCGGGAAACCGGAGCUAAUACCGGAUAAUAUUUUGAACCGCAUGGUUCAAAAGUGAAAGACGGUCUUGCUGUCACUUAUAGAUGGAUCCGCGCUGCAUUAGCUAGUUGGUAAGGUAACGGCUUACCAAGGCAACGAUGCGUAGCCGACCUGAGAGGGUGAUCGGCCACACUGGAACUGAGACACGGUCCAGACUCCUACGGGAGGCAGCAGUAGGGAAUCUUCCGCAAUGGGCGAAAGCCUGACGGAGCAACGCCGCGUGAGUGAUGAAGGUCUUCGGAUCGUAAAACUCUGUUAUUAGGGAAGAACAUAUGUGUAAGUAACUGUGCACAUCUUGACGGUACCUAAUCAGAAAGCCACGGCUAACUACGUG